ACAUAGGAACAACAGAGUCAGAUCUUUUAGGUUUAUAACAUCACUGCUAUCAUUUGAAAAUGAAGAGGAUCUUGCUUCUUGCUUUCUUCGCAUUUUUGAUCAGCAGCAGCUAUUGUACUCCUGCUGGUGAUGAUAUAGAUAAUGAAGAAGCAGCUGAUGCUGCAGAAAACAGUAAAUUCAAAGAAACUGAUGACCUUGAUUCAGAAUUGGCGGCUAA
This is a long non-coding RNA of Amphimedon queenslandica, 217 nucleotides long. RefSeq lists it as uncharacterized. The record is from RefSeq and is a predicted model, not a curated record. The transcript is spliced from 4 exons. Lineage: Eukaryota; Metazoa; Porifera; Demospongiae; Haplosclerida; Niphatidae.